This 421-nucleotide ribosomal RNA is filed under the name uncultured bacterium. Its description in RNAcentral is "bacterial SSU rRNA". It matches the Rfam family "Bacterial small subunit ribosomal RNA", at positions 8 to 433 of the family's 1533-position model. The record is from RNAcentral.
AGAGUUUGAUCCUGGCUCAGAUUGAACGCUGGCGGCAUGCCUUACACAUGCAAGUCGAACGGCAGCGCGGGGCAACCUGGCGGCGAGUGGCGAACGGGUGAGUAAUAUAUCGGAACGUACCCUGGAGUGGGGGAUAACGUAGCGAAAGUUACGCUAAUACCGCAUACGAUCUAAGGAUGAAAGUGGGGGAUCGCAAGACCUCAUGCUCCUGGAGCGGCCGAUAUCUGAUUAGCUAGUUGGCGGGGUAAAAGCCCACCAAGGCAACGAUCAGUAGCUGGUCCGAGAGGACGACCAGCCACACUGGAACUGAGACACGGUCCAGACUCCUACGGGAGGCAGCAGUGGGGAAUUUUGGACAAUGGGCGCAAGCCUGAUCCAGCAAUGCCGCGUGAGUGAAGAAGGCCUUCGGGUUGUAAAGCUC